AAGCGUAUUCCAUUUUUGCUGGAAGGAAUUUGAUGGAAAGCUCAAGGAAAAAGCUAAGGAUUAAAGAAAAAGAAUAAGAAAAGAGAAAGUGGAGAACCUAACCAAAUUCUAUCUUGAAGAUUAAUAGGUGAGCAAACUAAGCAACAAGGAUACAGAAAGUCUUGAAGUCUACCCGUGUCAGCCUUUGAAGAGCUUCCGAAAUGGAACAAGUUAGGCUCGAGUAAAGCCAAGAAAAUCAGCCCCUUAGCUUUGUCAAAGUUUGGUAUUUUGUUGAGUCUUAAAUGUAUAUGUGUGUGAGAUAUAUAAGAUUUGUACAUGUAUAUAAAUUAUUAUUGUAUCAUGUAGGGAUAAACUCAAUGGACAUUAUUAUUUUUGUUUUGCUU
Non-coding RNA from Camellia sinensis, 383 nucleotides. The record is from RefSeq and is a predicted model, not a curated record. NCBI's taxonomy places the organism in Eukaryota, Viridiplantae, Streptophyta, Magnoliopsida, Ericales, Theaceae.